This 263-nucleotide unclassified non-coding RNA is filed under the name plant metagenome. RNAcentral's name for it is "partial contains small subunit ribosomal RNA, internal transcribed spacer 1, and 5.8S ribosomal RNA". The record is from RNAcentral.
UUUCCGUAGGUGAACCUGCGGAAGGAUCAUUAUUGUAUAACCGAGGUGCGAGGGCUGUCGCUGACCCGAAAGGUCGUGCACGCCCUAGUGUCCUCACACACAUCCAUCUCACCCCUAUGUGCACCACCGCGUGGGUCCCCCUUUGGCUUGUUCGGAGGGGGGCUUACGUUUUCACACAAACUUUGUAUGCAGUGUAGAAUGUAUUUUUUGUUUUUGCGAUCACGCAAUCAAUACAACUUUCAACAACGGAUCUCUUGGCUCUC